RNAcentral lists this unclassified non-coding RNA (1266 nucleotides) under Leishmania donovani. RNAcentral's name for it is "gene:LdHU3.28.0140(CDS-product:proteasome_beta_3_ subunit_putative)". Lineage: Eukaryota; Euglenozoa; Kinetoplastea; Trypanosomatida; Trypanosomatidae. The record is from RNAcentral.
GAGCUGCAAAUUUCCUUUUUCAUUCCUCCUUUUGAACACAAACUCACCACCUCUUGCGCUUGGGUACGUAUCGUGGGUGUUUUUCCUGUUUUUUGUCACUUCCGUCAUCUGACCGCUGAACUGCACGCCUCCAUUACUCUCGCCUCCUUUCGGUGCCGCCAUUCUGCGUGCCCUUUAGGUGUGACUAUUCUCCCCCUUCUAAGUGAGCUAUCCAAGAUGUCUAUUAUGUCGUACAGCGGUGGCUCGGUGAUGGCCAUGGCGGGAAAGGAGUGCUUCGUCAUCAUCUCCGAUAAGCGCCUCGGCGAGCAGCUGAAGACUAUCUCGACGGAGGUGCCCAAGCUGCAUGUUGUUAACGACAGCAUUGUGUACGGCCUCACCGGUCUGCGCACGGACCAGCAAACUUUUGCGAACAAAGUUCAGUUUCGCACCGACAUGUACAAGCUGCGCGAGGAGCGCGACAUCACUGGCAAGGCGUUCGCAGCGAUGAUCACGUCCAUGCUGUACGAGGCGCGUUUCGGACCAUGGUUCGUGGAGCCGGUGAUCGGAAGCAUAGAUAAGUCAACGGGCGAGGUGUACCUGUGCGCCACCGACCUCAUCGGCGCCCCGUGCGAGCCACAGGACUAUGUUUGCGCCGGCACCGCUGCUGAGAGCUUGCACGGCAUGUGCGAGGCUCUCUGGCGCCCGGGCAUGUCUCCGGAGGAGGUUUUCGAGAUCGCUGCGCAGGCGAUGCUAUCUGCGUGUGAUCGCGACAGUCUCUCCGGCUACGGUGCAGUGGCUAUGAUUGUGACGAAAGACAAAAUCACGACGCGCCUCAUCAAGGGCCGAAAAGACUAGGGGCGUAGCCAGCAAGCCUCCUUGUGUACGUGCCCUCAUUUUUUCGUUUUUGUGUGCCGGUGAUGGAAAGGCAUCUAGGCCACACUAUUUUAUCCCUUCUCUUGUUCUUGUGCAUGGUUUGGCUGGAUGUGCUCCAGGUGAGCUGUUCGGGUUCGAGUUCAUCGGCGUGGGUAUGUGGUGCGCCUUUGUCUUUUUCAGCUGUGUGUGCGAUGUUAUACACAACUGCCAGAAUGCCGCGCGGUAGAGGUGGCAGGGAGAGCGGAGUAGGUCCUUCGCUGCGGAGCAGGAUGGCGCCCAUAUCGCAGUGGUGUGUUGCUUUGUCAGUUCGCCCGAAAGACGCUUGUGCGGGGUUUCCUGUGCGCUUCUCUCUCCUGCGUGUGUUUGUGUCGGUGUUCUACGCUUUACUUCGCGUGGUCGUAUGUGAAAGAGAAG